UAUUGUUUAUUAUAUAGAGAGUUUAAAAUAUAUAUAUAUUAUAUAUCCAGCAGUGGGGAUGCAGCAAGCAUACAAUGAGAAAAAGCAGAAAGAAGAAUGACCCCGUGCCAGUGUUAUAAGCAGCUUCCUGAAAACAGCUUGCAGCCAGGAAAACUGCUGGAUCAAAUCCCUCGGAGGAGGAGAAAGUCCAGGGGAGAUGUCUCCACCACCUCCCUGCGACAGAGGGACAAAAGGAGAAGGAUGGACCAACACCUACACAACGCCUACUCCAGAAUGCAGCGCAGGAAGAGGAUGGAAGAUAGGACAAACAAGGGCAGCUCGUGCAAGAACACCUGUAUUAGGAUUGAGUUUGUUUUGCAGAGCAUUUUCUGGAUUAACUUCAAAUGACCCAGCUGGCUUUGGAGGAUCCACCUUCCCACAGGUGCUUGUUUUGCCUAAUUGGUAUUCCUGAGUAUUCAUCUACUUCAUGCUUUUGGGGGGGCAUUUUGGACAAAUUUUAGCUGCCUUGAGUGAGCUCGAAGACAGAUAGGAAUAAAGGAUGGAGUUAAAAUUGUCA
RNAcentral lists this long non-coding RNA (556 nucleotides) under Phasianus colchicus (ring-necked pheasant). RNAcentral's name for it is "lncRNA (ENSPCLG00000015399.1)". Lineage: Eukaryota; Metazoa; Chordata; Aves; Galliformes; Phasianidae. The record is from RNAcentral.